This 528-nucleotide ribosomal RNA is filed under the name uncultured bacterium. RNAcentral's name for it is "bacterial SSU rRNA". It matches the Rfam family "Bacterial small subunit ribosomal RNA", at positions 777 to 1304 of the family's 1533-position model. The record is from RNAcentral.
AAUAGAUACCCUGGUAGUCCACGCCGUAAACGAUGAGUGCUAAGUGUUAGAGGGUUUCCGCCCUUUAGUGCUGCAGCAAACGCAUUAAGCACUCCGCCGUGGGGAGUACGGUCGCAAGACUGAAACUCAAAGGAAUUGACGGGGGCCCGCACAAGCGGUGGAGCAUGUGGUUUAAUUCGAAGCAACGCGAAGAACCUUACCAGGUCUUGACACCCUCUGACACCCUAGAGAUAGGGCUCCCCCGUUCGGGGGCAGAGUGACAGGUGGUGCAUGGUUGUCGUUAGCUCGUGUCGUGAGAUGUUGGGUUAAGUCCCGCAACGAGCGCAACCCUUGAUCUUAGUUGCCAGCAUUCAGUUGGGCACUCUAAGGUGACUGCCGGUGACAAACCGGAGGAAGGUGGGGAUGACGUCAAAUCAUCAUGCCCCUUAUGACCUGGGCUACACACGUGCUACAAUGGGCAGAACAAAGGGCAGCGAAGCCGCGAGGCUAAGCCAAUCCCACAAAUCUGUUCUCAGUUCGGAUCGCAGU